Non-coding RNA from Microcebus murinus (gray mouse lemur), 749 nucleotides. The record is from RefSeq and is a predicted model, not a curated record. NCBI's taxonomy places the organism in Eukaryota, Metazoa, Chordata, Mammalia, Primates, Cheirogaleidae.
GCACGCACCCCACGUCUCCCGGCACGCACGCCCUCACGCAUGACCCCACGUCUCCCGGCACGCACGCCCUCACGCACGACCCCACGUCUCCCGGCCCAGCAGCCCCUGUCUGCGCACGUCCCAUCGGCCGUGGCCUGGUCAGGAGGGGCGCGCGCUAAUCCCAGUGGCAGACAAGCCACACGGACCCCACAGUUUUUUCCAGAACACCUGAGCUAGAACCUGCGCACAUGCAGUGGCAUCAAAUCCAUCGCGCUUUCGCACCGGCAAGAUUAGGGUGGACGCUAGGAUGGCGGGGACCUGCACACGCCGAGGACUGGCUCUGCCGCUUCCACACGACAUCUCCCUCGGCUCGAGACACCAGCAAGCCCGCCCACGCCACACGCCAUCAACGCGGCAGGAGACGGCGGCCUCCUGUGAGCACAGACCCGGCUCCUACUGUCUGGGCCUCUCGCAUACGUGCACAAACCCCGGGCUUUGCACUGCCGGGGAAACCGGCAGUGGAUUUUUAGCGGUGAACUGUGUGUGUUCAUGCUUCACCUCUUUCCUCAGAGGAGAUUAAACAAAUAACUUCCCUUGCGUGAUCUAAGGGCCCUUCCCACCAGCUGCCCGCUGUGCGCGUCCAGGUACUUGCGCCACGUUCGAGUGAGGUGUGGCAGUCUGCAGCAGGGAGUGAGCAAGCCGCUUUAGACACCUGGGCCCUGGGCUCGGGGCCCGGGCACCUGCAGAAUAAAGCAAUGGGUGUCCGUUCA